CCUACGGGUGGCAGCAGUGAGGAAUAUUGGUCAAUGGGCGCUAGCCUGAACCAGCCAAGCAGCGUGAAGGAUGACUGCCCUAAGCGUUGUAAACUUCUUUUAUAGGGGAAUAAAGUGCAGUAUGUAUACUGCUUUGCAUGUACCUUAUGAAUAAGGAUCGGCUAACUCCGUGCCAGCAGCCGCGGUAAUACGGAGGAUCCGAGCGUUAUCCGGAUUUACUGGGUUUAAAGGGAGCGUAGGCGGGAUGGUAAGUCAGAUGUGAAAGUUUGCGGCUCAACCGGAAAAUUGCAGUUGAUACUGGCAUGCUAGAGUACAGUAGAGGUAGGCGGAAUUCGUGGUGUAGCGGUGAAAUGCGUAGAUAUUAGGAAGAACCCCGAUGGCGAAGGCAGCCUGCUGGACUGUAAUUGACGCUGAUGCUCGAAAGCGUGGGGAGCAAACAGGAUUAGAUACCCUGGUAGUC
Molecule: ribosomal RNA, 460 nt
Filed under: uncultured bacterium
Lineage: Bacteria
Description: partial 16S ribosomal RNA
Rfam family: Bacterial small subunit ribosomal RNA
Source: RNAcentral